Molecule: ribosomal RNA, 490 nt
Filed under: uncultured bacterium
Lineage: Bacteria
Description: partial 16S ribosomal RNA
Rfam family: Bacterial small subunit ribosomal RNA
Source: RNAcentral
AUUGAACGCUGGCGGCAGGCCUAACACACGCAAGUCGAACGGUAACAGGAAGAAGCUUGCUUCUUUGCUGACGAGUGGCGGACGGGUGAGUAAUGUCUGGGAAACUGCCUGAUGGAGGGGGAUAACUACUGGAAACGGUAGCUAAUACCGCAUAACGUCGCAAGACCAAAGAGGGGGACCUUCUGGCCUCUUGCCAUCGGAUGUGCCCAGAUGGGAUUAGCUAGUAGGUGGGGUAACGGCUCACCUAGGCGACGAUCCCUAGCUGGUCUGAGAGGAUGACCAGCCACACUGGAACUGAGACACGGUCCAGACUCCUACGGGAGGCAGCAGUGGGGAAUAUUGGACAAUGGGCGCAAGCCUGAUGCAGCCAUGCCGCGUGUAUGAAGAAGGCCUUCGGGUUGUAAAGUACUUUCAGCGGGGAGGAAGGGAGUAAAGUUAAUACCUUUGCUCAUUGACGUUACCCGAAGAAGAAGCACCGGCUAACUCCGUG